RNAcentral lists this ribosomal RNA (210 nucleotides) under Triticum aestivum (bread wheat). RNAcentral describes it as "partial small subunit ribosomal RNA". Lineage: Eukaryota; Viridiplantae; Streptophyta; Magnoliopsida; Poales; Poaceae. The record is from RNAcentral.
CUUUUCAAGCUUGACAUCAAAAAAGCCUUCGACUCUGCUCGCUGGGACUAUCUCCUAGACCUUCUCAAACACCUUGGAGUUCCUCCGCGCUUUCGUGGUUGGGUCUCGACUCUCUUGGCUUCGGCAUCUUCGCGAGUCUUGCUCAACGGUAUUCUGGGCAACCCUAUCAAGCUUGGGAAGGGCUUGAGGCAAGGAGAUCCUCUAUCCCCC